CUCACAAUCAUGAGGCAAAUCAUUCUUAUAUUUCCUUUAUAGGUGAGAACUCAGAUGCUCAGAGAAGGUAAAAAGUUUUUCUAAGUCUCCAAAACCAUGACUGUGACCUGAUGUUGUCUACUGUGAUUUCUACGUAGUCUGAUGAUCAACUUUACCCAUGCUGACCCCAAUACAGAACUCCUUGAAAUCAUUGGAAACAGAUUGACCUUACCUGUUUCUUGGAUUGUUGAUAAAAGAUAUGGAAUGAAACUUGCCCUCCAUUCCUGGAAGAUGCCUUUGCCACUGACUGUCACCAGAGGAAGAAGUGAAAGGGUACUCCUACCCCUCUUUCCCUCAAAACUUGAAAAGCCAAAGACGAUGAGUUUUGUGGGAUUCCAAACAGCAGAGAAGCAAUGCAAGAGUGAGACAGCCCCAGAAGAGAAACUCACAUCUGAAAGUCAUUUUCCAAAACUUCAUUCAGCACAGGAACAAUGCAGCAUUCAAGCAUGAGGAGUUGGAACUGUGUGCUGUGCCAGGUCAAAUCAUAACCUCCAGCUCCCUUCCAUAGAGUGGCUUGCCAUGGUGGGCCAGGACACAGUCUGAUUUCAAAGGAAGGGCUGGGGCGAGCCAGGGAAAGGGGCAAGGAGCCAACAAAAGAAAGUCAAGAAACCUAAAACUGGUGGGUUUCAGUAACAUACAGAGGAGCUGUGCAAAGUCUGUCUCUAGUUACCUAGAAUUUGGAAGCUAUGAAAGAAAGAGCUCAUGGUGACUCUUGACAGAAAGCUGGCAAAGUGGCCACAAGUUUGGGCCGGGGCACUAGUGACUUGGAGCCUGUGCCUCUUCCUUCCUGCCUGUCUAGCAGUCUUCCUUGUAAACACCUGGUCUCAGCUGGCCAAAAAGCUUCUCAGCACUCCUCUGGGUCAACCUUCUCUUAGCAUUACUGAUUCCAUUCAAGAAAUAGCAGUGAUAAUGUAGUGCUAUAAAUCAUCCUCUUACAAGUUACUGUGCUCCAAGUCUCUAUAGUUUUGUUCAGAACCCAAUGGCAACUCCACUCAGAUGCAUUUGAAUUUAUUGUGGAGAAGUCAAACAAAUUAAGAGAUGGCAGUGCAAUGUUGUUCCAGUGACAUAGUCAUUGGUACUCUAGUGGAGUAGUUAGGGAGGCACUAAGCUCUCAGGGG
This 1157-nucleotide long non-coding RNA is filed under the name Fukomys damarensis (Damara mole-rat). Its description in RNAcentral is "lncRNA (ENSFDAG00000024878.1)". Lineage: Eukaryota; Metazoa; Chordata; Mammalia; Rodentia; Bathyergidae. The record is from RNAcentral.